GAUGAAGAACGUAGCGAAAUGCGAUAAGUAAUGUGAAUUGCAGAAUUCAGUGAAUCAUCGAAUCUUUGAACGCACAUUGCGCCCGCCAAUAUUCUGGCGGGCAUGCCUGUUCGAGCGUCAUUUCAACCAUCAAGCCCCCGGCUUGUGUUGGGGACCUGCGGCUGCCGCAGGCCCUGAAAACCAGUGGCGGGCUCGCUAGUCACUCCGAGCGUAGUAAUACAUCUCGCUCAGGGCGUGCUGCGGGUUCCGGCCGUUAAAAAGCCUUAUUUACCCAAGGUUGACCUCGGAUCAGGUAGGAAGACCCGCUGAACUUAAGCAUAUCAUAAGCGGAGGA
RNAcentral lists this unclassified non-coding RNA (334 nucleotides) under soil metagenome. RNAcentral describes it as "partial contains 5.8S ribosomal RNA, internal transcribed spacer 2, and large subunit ribosomal RNA". The stretch from base 1 to 120 matches the Rfam family "5.8S ribosomal RNA", at positions 35 to 154 of the family's 154-position model. The record is from RNAcentral.